GUGUCUAUUGCUUCCUGUGGAAUCUGCGACUUGUUCGACGGCGUUCCUUUUACAGCUUGCCGCCAAGCAUCGUGAAAGAGAGCAUCGGUUGGCGAUUCCCACCAGCACGGCAAAAAGGCCCCGCGAAGCGUACGAGAAUAUGCAGGCCGCCAUAUCGUUUUCCGCAUACAGUGUCCACGAGCAGCGAGACAUAGAGACACCUGCCAUCCUACAAGUCCGUCAAGUCCCAGUAGUACAGAAAAAUCAAUAAGCAGUACCCGACACUGCGCUGCAUAGGAGAUCCGGCACCAGCGUGGCAUGAGCUUUCGCAGACCUGGGAGUCCUGGAACAGUAUACAUACCUGAUCGACAGCUACGUCCUCUUCGAACAGACACAGCCUCCAUUUCUUAUAAUGGCGUCAUCGCUAGACAUGCACACGUUGCAUAAGUCUAAGCAUUGGGUCUGUGACGGGACCUUUGACUAUUGCUCUCCAGUGUUCAGUCAGCUCUACAGCAUACAUGGUAUCGUGCGAGGAGAGGGACUGCCUCUCGUCGUUGGAUUGCUACCAGACAAGACGCAAACAAGCUAUUCGAAGUCUUUUUAUGUAUUGCGCUCUGCCCUGGUGCUGACAUGUGGUGACGUCGGGGAACUUGAGGUGGGACAUUUCGACUUUGAGAUGACCGACAUCGCUUCAUUUGAAGCUGAAUUUCCUGGGGCACUGUCGAAGGGAUGCCUCUUCCAUUUCGCUCAAGGCAUCACACGCAAGGUGGCUCAACUAGGUCUACGGGUGCUCUAGGGGGAUCCCCAGCGACCAGACCUCAAGAGGUGGGCUCGCAGGCUUGUGAGUCUCGCCCUGCUCCCGGAGCCUCUCGUGGUUCCCCACUGGGUGACGUCAUUCAGAAGUCUGACAUCGACCACCGGAACCCCGAGGAUGGACGCAGCCAUCACCAAGCUCGCUGACUACUUUCAAAGUCAGUGGCUGCAUUCAAAGCGGCAGGUCAGCCUCUGGAACCACAACAGGGACUAAGACCACCUCCGGGGAACCACGUGGAAGGUUAACGUCGAUCGCUAGGUUCGCGCUCUUAGUGCCAACCGAGGAUGUCCCGCGGGAAGUUAUGGCGGAGUUUCAGCGAAAUAUCCACCAUAUGACUCAGAUGAAGAUCCGCCAGCUGGAGAAUGGGAAGACGCCAAACUCAUCCAGACCGAACUAAGUGGCCAGUAAUGAGGCCAUCCGGACGCACAAGCAAAGCCUCCAGAGGCAGUGGAUGCUACUGAGCGCAGCCAUGGGAGGUGGACCGCCAUCCAUUGCCAGCAGAUAGCAGCUGUUCGAGCAAAACGUCAACGCGUUUAGGUUGCUUUGUCUGUAUAUCGUGUUACUUUAUAUUUAUCAUGCCUCCCACUGUUGUCAAGCUCCGGAGACAAUAUUUACUUGCCCCUUUUUUACCAGUAUUUUACAUUUUGCGCACGAAUGUUCAGGCACAAUUAUCUCUUUAUUUUGUAAUUUAAGUUGAAUAAAUAAGCAGUCCGAUCCAAUCCAAUUACUGCCGUCGCGGCCUCCGUCGCUUUGCUUGCGCGGCCUGUUCGGAAACCCUGCCGUCGCGUCCCCGCCCCGGCGUGCUCCCGUGACGGUGCCGGGAUGGGAGGGACGCCGGCUGUGUGAAUGAGGUCUAACGGGACACCCGCACCUCAAAGGGGGCUCCCCGCCUCGCGCACAAACUUCUCCCUUCCAGAGGUCGUAAACAUCCACGAGCGAACCCCACAAGAGUCCCCAAAACUUUUCGCGCAGGGCCUCCGGGCGA
Long non-coding RNA from Ixodes scapularis (black-legged tick), 1778 nucleotides. RefSeq lists it as uncharacterized. The transcript has 4 exons. Lineage: Eukaryota; Metazoa; Arthropoda; Arachnida; Ixodida; Ixodidae. The record is from RefSeq and is a predicted model, not a curated record.